RNAcentral lists this transfer RNA (73 nucleotides) under Ovis aries (sheep). It matches the Rfam family "tRNA". From Rfam's summary of the family: Transfer RNA (tRNA) molecules are approximately 80 nucleotides in length. Their secondary structure includes four short double-helical elements and three loops (D, anti-codon, and T loops). Lineage: Eukaryota; Metazoa; Chordata; Mammalia; Artiodactyla; Bovidae. The record is from Rfam by way of RNAcentral.
UCCCUGGUGGUCCAGUGGCUAAGACUCUGGGCUCCCAAUGCAGAGUGCUCAGGUUUGAUCCCUGGUCAGGGAA